UGGGGAAUAUUGCACAAUGGGCGCAAGCCUGAUGCAGCCAUGCCGCGUGUGUGAAGAAGGCCUUCGGGUUGUAAAGCACUUUCAGCGAGGAGGAAGGUGGUGAACUUAAUACGUUCAUCAAUUGACGUUACUCGCAGAAGAAGCACCGGCUAACUCCGUGCCAGCAGCCGCGGUAAUACGGAGGGUGCAAGCGUUAAUCGGAAUUACUGGGCGUAAAGCGCACGCAGGCGGUUUGUUAAGUCAGAUGUGAAAUCCCCGGGCUCAACCUGGGAACUGCAUUUGAAACUGGCAAGCUAGAGUCUCGUAGAGGGGGGUAGAAUUCCAGGUGUAGCGGUGAAAUGCGUAGAGAUCUGGAGGAAUACCGGUGGCGAAGGCGGCCCCCUGGACGAAGACUGACGCUCAGGUGCGAAAAGCGUGGGGAGCAAAACAGGAUUAGAUACCCUGGUAGUCCACGCUGUAAAACGAUGUCGAUUUUGGAGGUUGUGCCCCUUGAGGCGUGGCUUCCGGAGCUAACGCGUUAAAUCGACCGCCUGGGGAGUACGGCCGCAAGGUUAAAACUC
RNAcentral lists this ribosomal RNA (560 nucleotides) under uncultured bacterium. RNAcentral's name for it is "partial 16S ribosomal RNA". It matches the Rfam family "Bacterial small subunit ribosomal RNA", at positions 355 to 902 of the family's 1533-position model. The record is from RNAcentral.